UCCUCUCAUAUCCCCCAUUCCGUGGGGUGUGACUGCCAAUAACACAAGAACCCCCCUCUUAGGCCAGCAGCAGCGAGUUUUCUGGUCAUUAGCGAGACAACCUGCUGCCUGUGCAGACUGGUAAAGUCCAAUCAAUGCCGAAUCAACGAAUCAAAGAAGAGAAGGGGAAUGAUGACACCAAC
RNAcentral lists this long non-coding RNA (182 nucleotides) under Dasypus novemcinctus (nine-banded armadillo). RNAcentral describes it as "lncRNA (ENSDNOG00000052010.1)". Lineage: Eukaryota; Metazoa; Chordata; Mammalia; Cingulata; Dasypodidae. The record is from RNAcentral.